Long non-coding RNA from Sorex araneus (European shrew), 298 nucleotides. RefSeq lists it as uncharacterized. The transcript has 3 exons. NCBI's taxonomy places the organism in Eukaryota, Metazoa, Chordata, Mammalia, Eulipotyphla, Soricidae. The record is from RefSeq and is a predicted model, not a curated record.
GCAAUGCACCUGUUAAGACCUGGUAGAGUGGAAACCGAAUGUAGGCUGAACAUGAAAUAACUUAUUGCAUAUUUCUUGUUACAACAAAAUGGCACUUUCAAAGAAGGAAUGUAGACUUCACUUCUUCCUGUUGACUGCUGACUGUUGUGGCAUAGUAAGAUACUCCAAAUUUAAGCAAUGGUCACACCCAGUGAUGCUGAGGGUUUACUCAAGAAUUACUGCACUCAAGAAUUACGGCACUCAAGAAUUACUGCACUCAAGAAUUACUCCUGGCGGUGCUUGAGGGACCAUAUGGGAU